CGCCCGCCCGAGCGGUCUCUGCCCGCGGCUACGCAGCACGGCCCGCCCGCGCCGGCAGAGUCCCUCCUGCCUCACCUGCUCCGGCUUGGUCUCCUCGGAUGUUUUCGGUCGCUUCGAAGAAAGAGGAGGUUCUGCGCUACCUGGGAAGGAGAUGCGUUUGGAGGUUGCAGGAGAGUCUGUCAGCUCCUUCUCUGUUUGGCUGGCCGAUGCUGGAAGGGAAAGGAGAGGACGUCAGACAGCGGCCAGCCCAGGCCGGCUCCCGGCAGCCUGUGCUGGGUGCAAAUCAACACUCAUUUCUAGCGCCGGACUUUCUUCCAACACCAGAGCUCAAGGAUGCGCAACCGGACUGAUGUAUCGAGCACGCUGGAAAAGCAGCGUUUCUUUUCCCCUCCCUGAAUUUGUGUCACUGCUUUGCCAACUGACAGCAGAAAAGAAGGUAGAGAAGUGGCCCGAAAGGCUCCGAGCCAGAGGACACCACAGUCAGUUUAUGCUCAUUUCCCCCCAUCAAGACACGACCCGCUGCUUCCAGGCAGGAGCUGCUGGGCGCUGGGGCACUGGGGCUGAGGGGGCUGGAGAGUUUCACCUGGGGCUUUGCCAGCCACCGCUCGACCAGAGGUGCCCCCCGGCUUUCUGCCUCAGCUGCUGGACUCUCAGCGCGGCACCUCGCAGGCAACACAGAACGGCUGUCAGCUGUGCAGCUGCUCGGCGGCGUGAGUGAAUGGGCACUGAAGCCGAGACCACCCAACUCAUCGCACUCACUCGGAGCUGAAAAGCAAAGCACAGUAUAGAACCCAGUGCGGCGUCAGCGUCCGCGUAGGACCAAAGAGACCAUCGUCUCUCCGUCGAUGCCGAGCGCGUGAUGAAUUGGGACAAGGUGGCAGAGCAACAAAAGUCCUGCUGUAAUAGGAAAUGCCGCAUCCACUGGUGUAGCAGCUCCUGAGGUGGUUCUUCCUUCCAACCAGGACAACCUGCAUUUUCACGAGAUCAGAGCUCUCUAGAAGUGGACACAAGCCAGCUGGGCACACUAGCCCCUUCUCUAGAGCACAGCCAUGUUAAUACCCAGUGACAACCCCACCACGUUCCCCUGGGUGAUACGGGGAGGCCUGGAAGAGUGGGGUUAGCCAGGCUGCCAGCCCCCUUCCUGGCUCACUGCCGCUCCUGUCAAGAGAUGGCACUGAAGUCUACGCAGCUUCUGUACACACUGGACAAAAACUGGACACACGGCUGUACACACUCUCCAUCAACAUGCCGGACGAGGGUCACGACAAGCCACAGUCUGAGGCUUUUGCAAGUUUCUUCCCUCAACAACUUCAAAGGAGCACAGUCGCAAAGUCAAUUUCUACUUCUCUUCUGCCGCUUGCGUACAGGGCAAGUGUAAGCAACUGAGGCUGUGAGGACACCGAGAGAGAAAGUGCUGUGCUUUCCUGCUUUGAAAACUUUUCUAAGCUUCCAUUGCCAGAGAGAUACCCCCGUCUAUACAACACUAUUUAAAACAUCAACUACGGGUCACUCUAAGGCUGCUAUGGUGUCGCGUUGGUGAAGUGGAAGUAGGCGCGCUCCAGGGACAAGCCCCCGAUGAACUGUGCUGGGCACCUUGGGUCUACACUGGCAACAAAAAGCCAAACAAAUGGAAGGGUUACUACCAUGAUGGUUUUUACAACAAUGACAAAUGAACUGGGAAAAUAUCUAGAUCUCUUACAACCGGGCAUGGUUAAAUAACCAAUGGUGUGGCCCUUCUAUUGGGUAUUAGAAGACAAUGAAAAUGACAGCUUUCAAGCAAUGUGGGGAAAAUCCCUGUGAAUGGUAUUUGGAGGGAAAAAAGAAGAUACGAUGUCCAUCAUCCUAUGAUGUAGCUAUGGGGGGAAAAGGUAUUGAAGUAAAAGACUGAAAGAAAAUGAUUGUUAUAUUUAGGUGAUAUCCUCAUGGACCAUUUUCCCAUUUUCUAUGUUUGUCAUGCAGCUAUAUUAUUUUUAAUAUUAUAAUUAAAUAGUUCAGCAUUUACAUUCAGCUGUCCAUGAAGAAGGUGAUAUUUGGAUCCAACUGUGCAAAACAUU
This is a long non-coding RNA of Talpa occidentalis (Iberian mole), 2054 nucleotides long. RefSeq lists it as uncharacterized. The transcript has 3 exons. The record is from RefSeq and is a predicted model, not a curated record. NCBI's taxonomy places the organism in Eukaryota, Metazoa, Chordata, Mammalia, Eulipotyphla, Talpidae.